UACGUAGGGGGCAAGCGUUGUCCGGAUUUAUUGGGCGUAAAGAGCGUGUAGGCGGCCUGACAGGUCUGCUGUGAAAACUCGAGGCUCAACCUCGAGAUGUCGGCGGAAACCGUCUGGCUAGAGUCCGGAAGAGGAGAGUGGAAUUCCUGGUGUAGCGGUGAAAUGCGCAGAUAUCAGGAAGAACACCUAUGGCGAAGGCAGCUCUCUGGGGACGGUACUGACGCUGAGACGCGAAAGCGUGGGGAGCGAACAGG
Molecule: ribosomal RNA, 254 nt
Filed under: uncultured bacterium
Lineage: Bacteria
Description: partial 16S ribosomal RNA
Rfam family: Bacterial small subunit ribosomal RNA
Source: RNAcentral